RNAcentral lists this ribosomal RNA (708 nucleotides) under Salacia krigsneri. RNAcentral's name for it is "eukaryotic LSU rRNA". The stretch from base 281 to 436 matches the Rfam family "5.8S ribosomal RNA". The record is from RNAcentral. Lineage: Eukaryota; Viridiplantae; Streptophyta; Magnoliopsida; Celastrales; Celastraceae.
UUUCCGUAGGUGAACCUGCGGAAGGAUCAUUGUCGAAACCCGCAAAUGCAGAACGACCCGCGAACCGUCUGGAACUCUACUCGAGGGGAGGGCCGCCGCGCCCACCGCUCGUUGCCCCAGGGCUGGGGUUGCGGGCGCAUCCCGCACCCCCAUGCCGUGGGCGCACGCAACAAACAAACCCCGGCGCGAGUCGCGCCAAGGAAGAAGGAAAGAAAGGCGUGCUCCCUCGGUCCCGGAAACGGUGCACCGGGGACUGCGUCGUGGUUAUCCUAUUCGAAACGACUCUCGGCAACGGAUAUCUCGGCUCUCGCAUCGAUGAAGAACGUAGCGAAAUGCGAUACUUGGUGUGAAUUGCAGAAUCCCGUGAACCAUCGAGUCUUUGAACGCAAGUUGCGCCCGAAGCCAUUAGGCCGAGGGCACGCCUGCCUGGGUGUCACGAAACGUCGCCAAACGUCCCUUCACCCCCUCGUAAGGGGAAGCAUCGAGGGCUGGCGGAUACUGGCCUCCCGUGCGCAGUCGCUCGCGGUUGGCCCAAAAGAGAGUCCCCCGGCAAGGCGGCCACGACACGCGGUGGUAGAGAGCGCACGCACGCUCUCCUCGAACACCGUCGUGGGCGAGCCUCGUCGAGCGGGGAAGCCAGAGGCCCCGACGCAGAGCGUCCCUCGCACAGCGACCCCAGGUCAGGCGGGAACACCCGCUGAGUUUAAG